AUUGCUGUGUGGCCUGUCAUUCUAAAAUUAAAAGAAACUAGACUUAUCUAACACAAGCAGUUUCCUGGUAGUUCAUGCUUUUCUGGGUGCCUUCAAACUAAGUGGAAACAUAUCUGAGAAUUGUCAUGCUCUGGAGGGUGGGUUGGUGGGGACACUAAAAAUGAAGGACAGCUGCUAGAGGCAAGGCCUCUUGGGCAGCUUUUGUCAUGUUCCAGGCACCAAUGAAUCAGGUCCAAUAUCUAGAUGUUUUCAGUGGGAUGAGAGACUAUGAGUCUCUAGAUCAAGAACUGGCAAACUAUAGCCCAUGAGCCAAAUCCAGCCACCUGAUCUCCUACAACCUGAGAGGAAAGCCUGGAAAAUCUAUUUUGGGCCUGGAUUUUCCCAGAUGCAGUACCACGCAAGGGCACUCCCUUUGUCACCAGACUAAUGACUACACUAAAAGCCUGAGGCUUAACAUUGCGAACACUUUUGAUGAUCCUCUUGGAACAGGAAUCCUCUGCAUCUCGGAAGCAACUUGCCCUCUGGCCACGCUGCCACCCUGUCACCAUGCUACUCUGACCCACUGAGAGAUGUACAGGCUAGCUCCUAUUCAGGAAAGGAAAACCCAGCUUUCCAGGAGACCUUGGGCUACUGCACCUAAUUCGUGCCCCAACCACAGCCAGAAAGGUAAAAGUAUGGGGUCCGCCUUCUA
Rhinopithecus roxellana (golden snub-nosed monkey) is the source of this 691-nucleotide long non-coding RNA. RefSeq lists it as uncharacterized. The record is from RefSeq and is a predicted model, not a curated record. The transcript has 3 exons. Lineage: Eukaryota; Metazoa; Chordata; Mammalia; Primates; Cercopithecidae.